Non-coding RNA from Lepisosteus oculatus (spotted gar), 419 nucleotides. The record is from RefSeq and is a predicted model, not a curated record. NCBI's taxonomy places the organism in Eukaryota, Metazoa, Chordata, Actinopteri, Semionotiformes, Lepisosteidae.
AGAAAGAAGUGUGACUUCCAAGACACAUUUCCCUCUGCUCAGUGUGCAUUUUUUUUACAAACUGUUUUGUGUGUGUGUCUAAAAUCUGAUCCUCCGCCCCUGGAAAAAGGGGACCUUGUCCUUCUGGGGGAUGAAAUCAAAUUGAAGCUCCCACAAUCCAGUGAGAUACUUUAUUUUCGAGUUUAUAUGCAUUAUAAACAAAGGAAAUGACCCUCGUUGGACAAAGAGUCUUCCCCAGUUGAUGAAAGGUCUUAUAAAUAAACUGUGUGCCCGUCUACUGUCCAGCUUUUCUGCCAGCUUGGAACAAAACUGAGACAAAUGUUUGCCAGUGUAAAGUUACUGAUCUAAGCAGCAUCUGGGCCCUUCUAGACAGGAGUGCAGCUGGUGUUAUUCUACUGGCAGCAUAAAGGCAAUAUGCA